Molecule: ribosomal RNA, 3003 nt
Filed under: Rhodocyclales bacterium
Lineage: Bacteria; Pseudomonadati; Pseudomonadota; Betaproteobacteria; Rhodocyclales
Description: 23S ribosomal RNA
Rfam family: Bacterial large subunit ribosomal RNA
Source: RNAcentral
GGUCAAGCGAAUAAGUGCAUGUGGUGGAUGCCUUGGCGAUCACAGGCGAUGAAGGACGUUGCAGCGUGCGAAAAGCCACGGGGAGCUCGCAAACAAGCUUUGAUCCGUGGAUGUCCGAAUGGGGAAACCCGGCCCGCAAGGGUCACUCCUGGCUGAAUACAUAGGUCAGGUAGAGCGAACCCGGUGAACUGAAACAUCUAAGUAGCCGGAGGAACAGAAAUCAACCGAGAUUCCGAAAGUAGUGGCGAGCGAAAUCGGAAGAGCCUGCACAAUUUAACCAUUACGCUAGCAGAGCGGUCUGGAAAGGCCGGCCAGAGUGGGUGAUAGCCCCGUAUGCGAAAGCCUGGUGGUGGAACUGAGUGUGCGAGAAGUAGGGCGGGACACGUGAAAUCCUGUCUGAAGAUGGGGGGACCAUCCUCCAAGGCUAAAUACUCGUGAUCGACCGAUAGUGAACCAGUACCGUGAGGGAAAGGCGAAAAGAACCCCGGGAGGGGAGUGAAAUAGAUCCUGAAACCGCAUGCAUACAAACAGUGGGAGCCUCGCAAGGGGUGACUGCGUACCUUUUGUAUAAUGGGUCUAAUGGUCAGCGACUUACAUUCAGUGGCGAGCUUAACCGCAUAGGGGAGGCGUAGCGAAAGCGAGUCCGAACAGGGCGAUUCAGUCGCUGGGUGUAGACCCGAAACCAGAUGAUCUACCCAUGGCCAGGAUGAAGGUUGGGUAACACCAGCUGGAGGUCCGAACCCACUACCGUUGAAAAGGUAGGGGAUGAGCUGUGGGUAGGGGUGAAAGGCCAAACAAAUCUGGAGAUAGCUGGUUCUCUCCGAAAGCUAUUUAGGUAGCGCCUCGUGUAUCACUUCCGGGGGUAGAGCACUGUAAUGGUUGUGGGGGUCAUUGCGACUUACCGCGCCAUAGCAAACUCCGAAUACUGGAAAGUGUGAGCACGGGAGACAGACUUGGGGUGCUAACGUCCUGAGUCGAGAGGGAAACAACCCAGACCGCCGAUUAAGGUCCCGAAGACACAGUUAAGUGGGAAACGAGGUGGGAAGGCUUAGACAGCCAGGAGGUUGGCUUAGAAGCAGCCAUCCUUUAAAGAAAGCGUAAUAGCUCACUGGUCGAGUGGUCCUGCGCGGAAAAUGUAACGGGGCUCAAACGUGCACCGAAAUCGCGGAACCAUGUGCGUUCCACUUUAGGCGUACGCAAGUUGCGCGUGAGCGCGCGGCCGAGGCCCGAAAGUCGAGUCGGGUCCUCCGAAGUCGAUUCGGGGGUGGAGUGAAUUAAAGGGAACGCACAUAUGGUAGGAGAGCGUUCCGUAGGCCGUUGAAGGUGGGGUGUGAACCCUGCUGGAGGUAUCGGAAGUGCGAAUGCUGACAUGAGUAGCGAUAAAGCGGGUGAAAGGCCCGCUCGCCGAAAGCCCAAGGUUUCCUGCGCAACGUUCAUCGGCGCAGGGUGAGUCGGCCCCUAAGGCGAGGCCGAAAGGCGUAGUCGAUGGGAAACAGGUUAAUAGUCCUGUACCUUUAUGCAAUGCGAUGGGGGGACGGAGAAGGUUAGGUGGGCCGGGUGUUGGAUGUCCCGGUUCAAGCGUGUAGGCGUGCCCGGUAGGCAAAUCCGCUGGGCUUAGCCGAGGCGUGAUGACGCAAGGCUCUUCGGAGUCCCAAGCCACUGAGACCCCGCUUCCAGGAAAAGCCUCUAAGCUUCAGUUGCAUGAAGACCGUACCGCAAACCGACACAGGUGGGCAGGAUGAAGAUUCUAAGGCGCUUGAGAGAACUCAGGAGAAGGAACUCGGCAAAUUAGCACCGUAACUUCGGGAGAAGGUGCGCCCUUGUAGCGUGAAGGCCCUUGCGGCUGGAGCGUGACGGGGUUGCAGUGAAAUGGUGGCUGCGACUGUUUAAUAAAAACACAGCACUCUGCAAAGGCGAAAGCCGACGUAUAGGGUGUGACGCCUGCCCGGUGCCGGAAGGUUAAGUGAUGGGGUGCAAGCUCUUGAUCGAAGCCCCGGUAAACGGCGGCCGUAACUAUAACGGUCCUAAGGUAGCGAAAUUCCUUGUCGGGUAAGUUCCGACCUGCACGAAUGGCGUAACGAUGGCCACACUGUCUCCUCCUGAGACUCAGCGAAGUUGAAGUGUUUGUGAAGAUGCAAUCUCCCCGCUGCUAGACGGAAAGACCCCAUGCACCUUUACUGUAGCUUUGCAUUGGACUUUGAUGAGACUUGUGUAGGAUAGGUGGGAGGCUUUGAAACCGGGAUGCUAGUUCCGGUGGAGCCGUCCUUGAAAUACCACCCUGGUGUCAUUGAGGUUCUAACCUGGAUCCAUUAUCUGGAUCGGGGACCGUGCAUGGCAGGCAGUUUGACUGGGGCGGUCUCCUCCCAAAGGGUAACGGAGGAGUUCGAAGGUUCGCUAGGUACGGUCGGACAUCGUACUGAUAGUGCAUUGGCAAAAGCGAGCUUGACUGCGAGACGGACAUGUCGAGCAGGUGCGAAAGCAGGACAAAGUGAUCCGGUGGUUCUGUAUGGAAGGGCCAUCGCUCAACGGAUAAAAGGUACGCUGGGGAUAACAGGCUGAUGACUCCCAAGAGUUCAUAUCGACGGAGUCGUUUGGCACCUCGAUGUCGGCUCAUCUCAUCCUGGGGCUGUAGCCGGUCCCAAGGGUAUGGCUGUUCGCCAUUUAAAGAGGUACGUGAGCUGGGUUUAAAACGUCGUGAGACAGUUUGGUCCCCUAUCUGCAGUGGGCGUUGGAGAUUUGACGGGGGCUGCUCCUAGUACGAGAGGACCGGGUGGACGCACCUCUGGUGUACCGGUUGUGACGCCAGUCGUAUCGCCGGGUAGCUAUGUGCGGAAGAGAUAACCGCUGAAAGCAUCUAAGCGGGAAACUUGCCUGAAGAUGAGAUCUCCCGGAGGCUUGACCUCCCUGAAGGGUCGUGGAAGACCACCACGUUGAUAGGCCGGGUGUGGAAGCGCAGUAAUGCGUUAAGCUAACCGGUACUAAUUGCCCGUGCGGCUUGAUCCU